Long non-coding RNA from Lathyrus oleraceus (garden pea), 746 nucleotides. RefSeq lists it as uncharacterized. The record is from RefSeq and is a predicted model, not a curated record. NCBI's taxonomy places the organism in Eukaryota, Viridiplantae, Streptophyta, Magnoliopsida, Fabales, Fabaceae. The transcript has 2 exons.
ACAUCCAAACUUGCAAAGGCGUUGCAAUAACCGAGUCCAUUCUCUUCAUCGCGUGAGCUGAAACAUCUGGACUAGAAAAGUGCUUAUCCAAAUCAUCUUGCAAUGCGCGACAUCACGUUUUCUCAUGUGAGUUGAAACGGUAAUGGAGAAAAGCACUUCUCCUGGAAAAAACUAGAAUGCGUAAUUCGCUCUUCACUCUAUCAUCAUUGUCGCGUGCUAAGGUGCUUCGACACAAACAUGAAGAAACGAUCGAACUCCAACAGUAACACGUUCGUCUCGGCCUCGCGUUCAUUAUGUUUCAGCGGAACUCUGCGGUUCCGCAUCCUCCAUUCACAUCGCUUUGCUAUCUCACGUAAUCAGAAGAAAAACAUAAUCGAAAGUGAACUGAAAACUCACCAGAUUUAACCGAUUUGUGGCUCAUGCAUUGCAUCUUAGUUUUGUAGGGUGUGUGAGGUCCUGACUUGCACCAAUGGCCCAGAUGCAAUAGGUCUUAUUUCAUGUUGAUUUGGACUUGAGUCAAGGCAUUGUUUAGAAGGUUUUGGUUUGGCUUCUGUAGCAGGAAUUCAAAUGGCCAGCAUUGUGGUUCAAUUGGUGUUUUUGGCUGGCACUGAUGAUAGAGCUGUUAGGGUUUGUUAGUUAGGAUUAGUGAAAUUAUAAGCUUGUGUCAGUUUUGUUUAAGUUUAGAUGAUUAUUGUGAAUGCUGUGUGAAGUUUUCUAAAUGGCUAUGAUUUUGAAUGUUGGUGUUA